ACAAAUUUUGUUAAAUUAUUAAAAUUCACAAAGAUAAAAAUUCCCUGUACUUUUUUUAUUCUUCCUUAAUAAAGUUCACCUCUUCCCAACCGAAACCGAGAGAAACAAAAAAAUUGAAAUUUACCUAUAUUUUUUCAAAUUAAUAUAACGAUUUAUUGUUUGUCUUAGAGUAAUAAAUAAACUAGACAGGUCAUAUUCGUUUUGAGGUCUAUUAGAAAACCGGUUGCCUGGACGAUUAAGCAUGAAAAAAAAUGUCAUUGUUGUGUUUUUAAUUGCUUUGGCCGUUAUAUGCACAAUAAACGAUACGAGGUGUAACGGCAGACUCACUGCGGUCGAAGUAAAUCAUGUCAACUACAUUAGUAGACAGCAACAUUGGGAAGAAAUGUGGUUCAAUAAGGUGAAAACUUCCGGAUGGCACUGGACAAAGAUAACUAGAAUAUCGAAUGGAGGUCCCAAAUUCGGGCCAAUAGAUAAGUUAAGGGUUAUACCUUACAUGAUGGGAUGCGCAUACGGGCAAAAAUUGAACGACUUUCUCAGAUUAACGGUUCACACGAUGGAUGAGUGUAACGGAAUUCGACAAAAGUUUGUCGCCGAAGACUGUUGGAGUAAAUUGACGACCAGCAUGAAAACAGGUGCGUCGAUUAUGGCAAACUUGUUGGGCGUGUUCAGGUUGCUCCAUUCUUUUGACAUGAGUGUCGUUCCAAGUUUAUUUUUCGAACCUAUGGGGAGGAUUCGCGUAUUUCUCGAAACAGAAGGGCUUAACUGGCCAAUCAUGUCCGUUGCGAAUUUCUUGGAGACCCUUUUAAUCACAGAAUGUCAACCCGCACACAGCGUAGUCGAUACCGGUGUGUUAGCGGUUGAAUAUAGAAAUUUAAAUACCAUAAUUAACCUCUACGAUUUUUAUGUAAACAAGCUGAAUUCCUAUACUGGAUAUAUAUGCCAGCACUUGGGCCAGCUUGGUUUUCGGCAUAACGCGGCGACAAACGUGACUACGUUUAUUACUCCUAACCUAAAUGAAUAAUAUCGCUAAAUUCAGUAAUAAGAAAACGCAGGCUAGAUUAUAUUUUAAAUGUUAUUAAAAAAAAAAAAAAUUAUAAAAGAGUA
Long non-coding RNA from Adelges cooleyi (spruce gall adelgid), 1104 nucleotides. RefSeq lists it as uncharacterized. Lineage: Eukaryota; Metazoa; Arthropoda; Insecta; Hemiptera; Adelgidae. The record is from RefSeq and is a predicted model, not a curated record. The transcript is spliced from 3 exons.